UAAGUUCCAAUGCACCAUCCCUAAUACC
This 28-nucleotide non-coding RNA is filed under the name Bombyx mori (domestic silkworm). Lineage: Eukaryota; Metazoa; Arthropoda; Insecta; Lepidoptera; Bombycidae. The record is from RNAcentral.